ACAACACCAAUGGCUGGAAAAUCAGACUCUGGAAGGCGUUUUCGCAAAUCUUUCAAUGAUUGCAGCCACAAUACAGAAACUACAUAUAUUCUCAUCGAUGGGGGUCUCUUCGGUAACGCUCUUGCAUCGCAUCGAUUUUCUUCGAUCCAUCCUCUCGGGAAAUUGGCAAAUAUAAUUCAAUGUGUCAAGUAAAAAUCGUGUGUAAAAAAUUAUAGUUAUAGUCUUUUUUUUUUUGAA
Molecule: long non-coding RNA, 237 nt
Organism: Nicrophorus vespilloides
Lineage: Eukaryota; Metazoa; Arthropoda; Insecta; Coleoptera; Silphidae
Exons: 2
Source: RefSeq, a predicted model, not a curated record